UAAGGCUCCCGGGGAAGACGUGGCGCCCUCAGCCCGCGGGAUCGGGCGCGCGCAGGACGGCCGGGGCGUCCCUCUGGGGAUGCGCCGAGGGCCCCGCGUUCGCGCUGCCCAGAGCCAGGGCGCCGCCCGGAGCCCAUGAGCACCAUGCGCCUGCUGACACUCGCCCUGCUUUUCUCCUGCUCCUUCGCCCGUGCCGCCUGCGACCCCAAGAUCGUCAACAUCGGCGCGGUACUGAGCACGCGGAAGCACGAGCAGAUGUUCCGCGAGGCUGUGAACCAGGCCAACAAGCGGCACGGCUCCUGGAAGAUCCAGCUCAACGCCACCUCUGUCACCCACAAGCCCAACGCCAUCCAGAUGGCCUUGUCGGUGUGCGAAGACCUCAUCUCCAGCCAGGUCUACGCCAUCCUAGUUAGCCACCCACCUACCCCCAACGACCACUUCACUCCCACCCCCGUCUCCUACACAGCUGGCUUCUACCGCAUCCCCGUCCUGGGGCUGACCACCCGCAUGUCCAUCUACUCAGACAAGAGCAUCCACCUUAGCUUCCUGCGCACCGUGCCGCCCUACUCCCACCAGUCGAGCGUCUGGUUCGAGAUGAUGCGCGUCUACAGCUGGAACCACAUCAUCCUCCUGGUCAGCGACGACCACGAGGGCCGGGCGGCGCAGAAGCGCCUGGAGACCCUGCUGGAGGAGCGCGAGUCCAAGAGUAAAAAAAGGAACUAUGAAAACCUCGACCAACUGUCCUAUGACAACAAGCGCGGACCCAAGGCUGAGAAGGUGCUGCAGUUCGACCCGGGGACCAAGAACGUGACGGCCCUGCUGAUGGAGGCGCGGGAGCUGGAGGCUCGGGUCAUCGUCCUCUCCGCCAGCGAGGACGACGCUGCCACCGUGUACCGCGCAGCCGCGAUGCUGAACAUGACCGGCUCGGGGUACGUGUGGCUGGUGGGGGAGCGCGAGAUCUCGGGGAACGCCCUGCGCUACGCCCCGGACGGCAUCAUCGGGCUGCAGCUCAUCAACGGCAAGAACGAGUCGGCCCAUAUCAGCGAUGCCGUGGGGGUGGUGGCCCAGGCCGUGCACGAGCUUCUCGAGAAGGAGAACAUCACCGAUCCGCCGCGGGGCUGCGUGGGCAACACCAACAUCUGGAAGACCGGGCCGCUCUUCAAGAGAGUGCUCAUGUCUUCCAAGUACGCAGACGGCGUGACCGGCCGCGUGGAAUUCAACGAGGAUGGGGACCGGAAGUUUGCCAACUACAGCAUCAUGAACCUGCAGAACCGCAAGCUGGUACAAGUGGGCAUCUACAACGGCACCCAUGUUAUUCCCAACGACAGGAAAAUCAUCUGGCCAGGCGGAGAGACAGAGAAGCCCCGAGGUUACCAGAUGUCCACCAGGCUGAAGAUCGUGACGAUCCACCAGGAGCCCUUCGUGUAUGUCAAGCCCACGCUGAGCGACGGCACGUGCAAGGAGGAGUUCACCGUGAACGGGGAUCCGGUGAAGAAGGUGAUCUGCACCGGGCCCAACGACACGUCGCCGGGCAGCCCACGCCACACCGUGCCUCAGUGCUGCUACGGCUUCUGCAUCGACCUACUCAUCAAACUGGCGCGGACCAUGAACUUCACUUAUGAGGUGCACCUAGUGGCGGACGGCAAGUUCGGCACGCAGGAGCGGGUGAACAACAGCAAUAAGAAGGAGUGGAACGGGAUGAUGGGCGAGCUGCUCAGCGGGCAGGCAGACAUGAUCGUGGCGCCGCUGACCAUCAACAACGAGCGCGCACAGUACAUCGAGUUCUCCAAGCCCUUCAAGUACCAGGGCCUGACCAUUCUGGUCAAGAAGGAGAUCCCCCGGAGCACGCUGGACUCGUUCAUGCAGCCCUUCCAGAGUACGCUCUGGCUGCUGGUGGGGCUGUCAGUGCAUGUGGUGGCCGUGAUGCUGUACCUGCUGGACCGCUUCAGCCCCUUUGGCCGGUUCAAAGUGAACAGCGAGGAGGAGGAGGAGGAUGCACUGACCCUGUCCUCGGCCAUGUGGUUCUCCUGGGGCGUCCUGCUCAACUCGGGCAUCGGGGAAGGCGCCCCCAGAAGCUUCUCGGCGCGCAUCCUGGGCAUGGUGUGGGCCGGCUUCGCCAUGAUCAUCGUGGCCUCCUACACUGCCAACCUGGCGGCCUUCCUGGUGCUGGACCGGCCCGAGGAGCGCAUCACCGGCAUCAACGAUCCCCGGCUGAGGAAUCCUUCGGACAAGUUCAUCUACGCGACGGUGAAGCAGAGCUCCGUGGACAUCUACUUCCGGCGGCAGGUGGAGCUGAGCACCAUGUACCGGCACAUGGAGAAGCACAACUACGAGAGCGCGGCCGAGGCCAUCCAGGCCGUGCGGGACAACAAGCUGCAUGCCUUCAUCUGGGACUCGGCGGUGCUGGAGUUCGAGGCCUCGCAGAAGUGCGACCUGGUGACCACCGGCGAGCUGUUCUUCCGCUCAGGCUUUGGCAUCGGCAUGCGCAAAGACAGUCCUUGGAAGCAGAACGUCUCCCUGUCCAUCCUCAAGUCCCACGAGAACGGCUUCAUGGAAGACCUGGACAAGACGUGGGUGCGGUACCAGGAGUGUGAUUCGCGUAGCAACGCCCCUGCUACCCUCACGUUCGAGAACAUGGCAGGGGUCUUCAUGCUGGUGGCCGGGGGCAUCGUGGCCGGGAUCUUCCUGAUCUUCAUCGAGAUCGCCUACAAGCGGCACAAGGAUGCUCGCCGGAAGCAGAUGCAGCUGGCCUUUGCAGCAGUGAACGUGUGGAGAAAGAACCUGCAGGUAGGGCAGGCCACCCUCCGAGGCCUGGUGCCCACGGCUCGGCCUGGCCCCGGCCCUCCUCCAUCCCCGCAGGCCGAAGCGUGGCUCUGGCUCCCAGGAGCCCCUGUGGCGAGGACUGGAGCUGGGAGCCACGGCCAAGGCCGCGCUGCUGGGGGCCGCCCGCAGGUGGCCGCCUCCGCAAAGCCGGGCUUCAAGCGUCCGCCUGGCCCCUCUGUCUCCAGAGUCGCCCACCGGCGCCCAUUCCAUAGGAAGGCAAACUGAGGCAGGGUAAGACAGGGACCCACCUGGGUGUAGCAUGUGAGUCCAAGACGCACUCUGCCCUCGCCGCCCCGCGCCCCUCCUUGGCACCCUCUGGGGACCCCCUUCCCCGCGGCCCUGGUGUGUCCUGUGCUCCAUAUAACUCCAGUCUUAACUGGCCGGCCGCUCCUGCCUGCAACCCCAGGCUGUGUCUGUGGGAAGUUGCCGCCAGCAGAGGACAGGCUGCACGUGGGGUGGCCACAGCCCACCUGGGACGGGCUCGUGCCCCAUAGUCCAGCCCCAGUCUGCCCCAUCUCUUCUCUUUCUCUGGGUACCUCCCCGGAGCCUGUGCCCUGGGAGGAAGCUGGUGCUGCAGGGAGGGAGGGCCGGGGCGACGGGGCUGCUGGAAGCCCACGCCUCUCAUCUGCCCUCUCUUGCUCUUGGGACCUGGCCGCUGCUCUCACUGGCGGGCACAGGGCCCGUCCUGACCAUCAGACCCGAGGCCAGGGUCCCAGGAGCUGCCUCCGUCUCUCUGUCACUCCAGCGCAUCUCGCCACCUGCCUUCGGCCCCUCAGCCCCUUCCUGAAUCUUGGUGCGCCUCCUCGGGGGUCAGAGUGGCCGGUGGGGCCGGUGGGGCAACUCCUCCCGUGCUCGGAGGGCUCCUCCUCCUCGGGACGCCCCUAAACCAGGGGCACCUCGGAGCCAGGGAGCCAGGCGGACCUCCCAGGAAGAGAGCCAGAUGGGACCCCCCGAGCCCAGCCCCAGCAUGAGCGAGGUCAGGCCCGAGAGCCGGGCAGGAGCAGAGGCCGCCUGCGAGUGUCCGACCAUCGGUCGGUCCAUCCAGCACAGGGAGGCAGGCCGGAGUGAGGGCCCGAGUGGCCAGCCAGGACGGGCAGCAGCCCCCAAGGAGCAGGCGAGGGCAGGUGUGGCCGCCACCCUUAGCCGUCUAAUCACUUAUACAUAUUCAUUUUAGGAUAGAAAGAGUGGUAGAGCAGAGCCUGACCCUAAAAAGAAAGCCACAUUUAGGGCUAUCACCUCCACCCUGGCUUCCAGCUUCAAGAGACGUAGGUCCUCCAAAGACACGAGCACCGGGGGUGGACGCGGCGCUUUGCAAAACCAAAAA
RNA transcript from Globicephala melas (long-finned pilot whale), 4147 nucleotides. It is a transcript of the gene named glutamate ionotropic receptor NMDA type subunit 1, with no coding region annotated. The record is from RefSeq and is a predicted model, not a curated record. Lineage: Eukaryota; Metazoa; Chordata; Mammalia; Artiodactyla; Delphinidae.